RNAcentral lists this unclassified non-coding RNA (569 nucleotides) under uncultured Bradyrhizobium sp. RNAcentral describes it as "partial 16S-23S ribosomal RNA intergenic spacer". The stretch from base 447 to 569 matches the Rfam family "Bacterial large subunit ribosomal RNA", at positions 1 to 122 of the family's 2925-position model. The record is from RNAcentral. Lineage: Bacteria; Pseudomonadati; Pseudomonadota; Alphaproteobacteria; Hyphomicrobiales; Nitrobacteraceae.
CUGGGAGAGCGCGUGCUUUGCAAGCAUGAGGUCGUCGGUUCGAUCCCGUCUGGCUCCACCAGAUGGUUUGAUCGCCGAGAUCUUGCACCGUCGUCCGCGAAACAUCACUUCGCAUCCUGCUAGUCUGGAUAGACAGCAAGAUGCGUGUUUUCUGACAUCGUAAAGAGGAGAUCGAUCCGAGUUGGGUCGUGCAGCAGAUUGUUGCGCGAAUCCUUCAUUAUCUCCGGAUCAUUUUCGGCGCUCGCUUUCAGCCGUGAGGUUGAAUGCGAGUUGUAAAAUGAUCCUUUUAGCGAAGCUUGACCGCCUCGCUAUCGGAACGAUCUUACGAAGCAAGCUGGUCUUUCUAGUCAAUGUCCGGCUGCAGAUAGCGUUCGUCGAGGGCGCGUGCCGCAAGGCAAUUCUGCAGACAACAUUCUGCCGAGUGUGUGGACAUUGAUAAUGAGAGCAAUCAAGUGCCUUAAGGGUGUUCGGUGGAUGCCUUGGCGCUGAGAGGCGAUGAAGGACGUGCUACGCUGCGAUAAGCCGUGGGGAGCUGCGAAGAAGCUUUGAUCCGCGGAUUUCCGAAUGGG